AUGGAGGGUAGAAGUGCGAUCUCUCCUCUAGGAGAGCCCUCAAUUCCAAUGAUCGCAGCAUGUGCACCAGCACUAUCAGGUGACAAUAGCGAUACGAGAAAAUCAAGAUAUCCUAAUGGUUCUUUGUAUAAACCCCAGUGUGACGAGGAAUUGAAGCCAAAAGUAGGGAUGGUAUUUGAUGACAUUGCCUCAGUGCUAGAAUUUUACAGGACAUAUGCACACAAUGUCGGAUUUGCUGUGCGUCUUAGACAACAGAGGGUCGUAGAUAAUGUGCUUCAAUGGAAAUGCUUCCUGUGUGCAAAAGAUGGCUUCCGUCCCGAGAAAGGUAUGGUUGUUGUUGAGGCUUCAAAGAAAAGGAGAAAGCAUGUUGGGUGCACCCAGAAAGACCUACAGAAUCACUAUGGUGGACUGAAAAAUAAAAUAAGAAAUUGUGAUGCUCAAAUGUUGGUGGACCAAUUUGGUAGAUUGAAGACUCUGAACCCUGCAUUUUUCUUUGAAUAUGAAGUUGACGAGGUCAGUACAUUGAUUCGUUUAUUCUGGACGGAUGCAUCAAGUAGGAAAAACUAUGGGCAUUUCAGCGAUGUCGUAUCUUUUGAUUCGACAUACAGCACUAACCAAUAUGAAUACACCUUUGCGCCCUUCACUAGAGUAAACCAUCACAUGCAAAGUGUCUUUUUUGGGGCGGGGUUUCUACUUCAUGAGACAGAAGAAUCCUAUAUUUGGCUGUUCAGGUCAUUUCUUAGAGCAAUGGGUGGGAUUGCGCCUAGAGUGAUCAUAACUGAUGAAUGUGUUAGGAUGAAAAAUGCAACCAGAAAAACUCUACCGAACACGACACAUAGAUUGCGCAUGUGGCACAUUAUGGAAAAGGUUCCAGGGAAGGUACGCCUGGAAUUGAGGAAUGACCUUGUGUUCUAUGAUAGGCUGAAACAUUGUGUGUGGAAUUCUGAAACACCUGCUAAAUUUGAGGAUAGAUGGCAAUCUUUCAUCAUAGAGUUUCAGUUGGAGGACUAUGAGUGGUUUGCCAAAAGUGAGUUGUUGACAUCAUGGGAAAUAGAGAGACAAGGCAGGGUGCUAUUCACCCAUGAGGUUUUUGAAUUGUUUCAGGCUCAGGUGCUUGCUGCCAGAGAUGAUUGUGAUGUUCAGCAGACAGAAAAUCAUGAGGGGAUUAAAAUCAUGUUUGCCAGCGAUCAAUACAAGAAGAUUAGAGAAGUGUGUUAUGACACAACAUCCAUGACCGCUAAAUGUUCUUGCAAGCUUUUUGAGUCCAAGGGAAUUGUGUGCCGUCACAUUAUUAGGGUAUUUAGGGGUGCGAAAAUAAAUGAAUUGCCAAGCCUUUGUAUUCUUAAGCGAUGGAAGAAAAAAUGCAAAAGGGACAUUGUCUAUGAUGGGGAAGGGAAUGUGCUUGAAGAAAAUUUAACAUAUUUGGUUGACAUUGCUGUGAAAAGGAAGAUAGUUGCUAUGAGGGACAAGCUAGAAGAUCUCAUAGGAGAAUCCAAACACUCCAUGGAAGGAAUUGAAUUCCUACACAAUAGUUUGUGUGGCAUUGAGUUGGGUUUAGCCCAACUAGUUUUGACCGUACCAUGCAAUACACAAGAAAAUGAGGAGUCGUGUAUUGGGAGUGUCAUUCCAAAGGAUGUUACAAUCCUCACACCUAAGGAUAUCAAUGCAAGGGGCACAUGCUCUAGAAUAAAGGGCCAUAGGGAUGGUGCGAGGAGUGGAUCCGGUGAGAAGAGAAGGCCUGGAAUUCAUCAAAAAGUCGCGCACAAAUGCAGCAUUUGUCUAUAA
This 1785-nucleotide ribosomal RNA is filed under the name Triticum aestivum (bread wheat). RNAcentral's name for it is "partial small subunit ribosomal RNA". Lineage: Eukaryota; Viridiplantae; Streptophyta; Magnoliopsida; Poales; Poaceae. The record is from RNAcentral.